This 795-nucleotide ribosomal RNA is filed under the name uncultured bacterium. RNAcentral describes it as "bacterial SSU rRNA". It matches the Rfam family "Bacterial small subunit ribosomal RNA", at positions 8 to 796 of the family's 1533-position model. The record is from RNAcentral.
AGAGUUUGAUCAUGGCUCAGAUUGAACGCUGGCGGCAUGCCUUACACAUGCAAGUCGAACGGCAGCACGGGGGCAACCCUGGUGGCGAGUGGCGAACGGGUGAGUAACACAUCGGAACGUGUCCUGUUGUGGGGGAUAACUAGUCGAAAGAUUAGCUAAUACCGCAUAAGCUGGAGACAGGAAAGCAGGGGACUCGCAAGGGCCUUGCGCGAUUGGAGCGGCCGAUGUCCGAUUAGCUAGUUGGUGGGGUAAAGGCCUACCAAGGCGACGAUCGGUAGCUGGUCUGAGAGGAUGAUCAGCCACACUGGGACUGAGACACGGCCCAGACUCCUACGGGAGGCAGCAGUGGGGAAUUUUGGACAAUGGGGGCAACCCUGAUCCAGCCAUGCCGCGUGAGUGAAGAAGGCCUUCGGGUUGUAAAGCUCUUUCGGUGGGAACGAAACGGUGUAGGUCAAUACCCUGCACUCCUGACGGUACCUACAGAAGAAGCACCGGCUAACUACGUGCCACCAGCCGCGGUAAUACGUAGGGUGCGAGCGUUAAUCGGAAUUACUGGGCGUAAAGCGUGCGCAGGCGGCGCGUUAAGACAGGUGUGAAAGCCCCGAGCUUAACUUGGGAAUUGCGCUUGUGACUGGCGUGCUGGAGUGUGGCAGAGGGAGGUGGAAUUCCACGUGUAGCAGUGAAAUGCGUAGAGAUGUGGAGGAACACCGAUGGCGAAGGCAGCCUCCUGGGCCAGCACUGACGCUCAUGCACGAAAGCGUGGGGAGCAAACAGGAUUAGAUACCCUAGUAGUCC